Camponotus floridanus (Florida carpenter ant) is the source of this 359-nucleotide long non-coding RNA. RefSeq lists it as uncharacterized. The record is from RefSeq and is a predicted model, not a curated record. The transcript has 3 exons. NCBI's taxonomy places the organism in Eukaryota, Metazoa, Arthropoda, Insecta, Hymenoptera, Formicidae.
AAUGUGUUCUGUUUAAUACAUUUCAUAUAUGUAAAAAUAGCAUAUAAAAGAUACGUAAAUGUACUACUAUUUGAUACGUAUCAUUAACUGUGUAACGAUAUGUAUCGUAUUUGUAGCUGAUAUAUAUAAGUGAUAUUUAAAUUGGACGUGAUAGAACGAAUUGUGCGUUUGUGCAGUCGUAGUGUCGCAUUAAAAGUUAUUCACAAGUAUCGCGCACAUGAUUGCAAAAUAUAUCUGAGCGUAACACCUGAUCCAACAACAUGGGAAAUUUAUGACGUAGAGGUUGAAGGAUUUUAUGGAACUGUGCAACUGGCAAGAAAAAAAGCCGAAAACAGCAACUGCACUUCUACUGAAGAGAA